This 134-nucleotide ribosomal RNA is filed under the name uncultured bacterium. RNAcentral describes it as "partial 16S ribosomal RNA". It matches the Rfam family "Bacterial small subunit ribosomal RNA", at positions 355 to 504 of the family's 1533-position model. The record is from RNAcentral.
UGGGGAAUAUUCCGCAAUGGGCGCAAGCCUGACGGAGCAACGCCGCGUGAGGGAGGAAGGCCUUUGGGUUGUAAACCUCUUUUCUCAAGGAAGAAGAUCUGACGGUACUUGAAGAAUAAGCAUCGGCUAACUCC